AACUUAUAUCGUAUUUAUAUACAUCUGUACCAUAUCGUUCACAUAUUUGUGGAGGUUUAACGUUGGCAUUUCUGUUUCAAGGUGGUUCAAACACGUUGUAAAUAAUCCCUCUUUUUGGGAAAUGGAUCUAUUUGUACACAUUGUAACCUACAUGUCAUUCAUUUAUCAGAUGAUUGGAAUCCACGAGGCUAUAUUGGGGCAUUACCCGGAUAUAGCUUUCGUUUAAUUUGUUACUUUUAUUCAGACAAACUGAGGGUGGUUGCAGGAUUCAAAAAUGGUGUCUUUUUUUUUUGGGGGGGGGGGAUUGCAGGAAACACAACAUGAACUAUAUAUUUGUUUUUAGCUCACCUGAGCUAAAGGCUCAAAUGAUCUUUUCUGAUCAUAAGCCUUAAGUCAUUGUUGUUGUUGUUGUUGUCAUAUAAACUCUUCACAUUUCAUCUUCUCCAGAACCACUGGGCCUAUUUCAACCAUACUUGGUACUGUACAUGGUACAAUGCGUCACGUGUGACGUCACAAUCAGAAACAUGGCUUCAAAUCGAAAAAGUAUGGAGUUUUUCAAUACAGCGAAUUUUGCCGGAAAACGAAUCCGACUUCAAACCACGAAAUUUUAACAGGAAAGAGACAAUUUGAUGAGCUUUCAUUCAAGAGGUCCCUCGUUGCUGAACAAAAAUAUUGCCUGAGCUAUGAACCCUAUUGUUAACAUUACUGCCUAUGGAAAAUGCAUUGGUGGAUUAUACCCAUGCAAGGCAAAUAUCAGUGUCUUUAGCAUUAACAAACCUGGUUGGACGUGUAACAUUGGCUGAGAAAAAGAAAAUGGUCUUGGUGACAAACAAGAAAAAGUUGGGCCCAGCUUUACAGAAUGAGGAGGUUCAGGUGUGUGUUGUUUAUCAGAUGUGGAUAAGGAUAUUCUGCCAUGCUUCACUUCAAAAGAAGAUGCCACGCCUCAUUUUGCAGUGUCCAAAGGUCCAAGGUUGAUAGUGCAAUGUCAUCAAUGAUGCUGGAGGAAGCUUGAAAGCCUGAAGAAAAUCCACAUGUCCAAGUGAAUGACUACGAUACCCUUUCACACACAGCCACUGUCGAUUACAGGGAUCCAACUCGGAUGAGCUUCUUGGUACACUAAUCCUUGACAUUUGAGGAACCUUCUCAAGCAAGAGUACACCUGUCGUGUUUGCAGUUUCAAAUGUGUUUAGAUAUUACAAUGUAUAAAGAAUAAGUAUAAAUGUUGUUAAUCAUACUAAGAUUAUCAUGCUAUUUCUUAUGAGAGUUCAUUGUCCAUUAGAUUGUGAAAGAUGUAUAAUACAAAUCCUAAUGGAUUUAUAGACUACUCAAUUAUUAAAAGAGUGUAAAAUGCAAGAUUUGAUAUUUUCUUAAAGAUAUUGAUUAGUUAAUUAUCUAGCAUUAACAAACUUUAGUAGAAGGUUUAAAAGUGGAUGUAAAUGCAUAUAUUGAUCUGCAUUUUAAGUUUUUUGUUUUUUUUUAAUUUCAACUCCUGACAGUGUAUAUAUUUAUAUACUUAUUCUGCAAUGACUUUUCCAUAUAUGCAUUCAACACAGUUAAGGAAUGAAUUUAAGUUCUACCUAUAUUAUACGAUAUAACAUAACUUGGGGCAGUUUACGCUUUAUAAACCGCGAAGUGGUUUAUAAAAAAGCGUAAACUGUUCCAAUUAUGUUAUAAUCAUAUAACAUAGGUAGAACUUAAAUUUAUUCCUUAUAAUUUAAUUUUUUAGUUCUAAAAUCAGAAAAUAGGGCCCACUUAUUAGUUAAAAGAUGUUAAUUUGUACAAAAUUUAAACGUAAUGUCAAGAGGAUUAAUACGUUUCGCACGCGCGUCCUAUUAUGAUGUAGGCAAGUUAUGUUAUACGAUAUAUAUGAAUUUGUUUAGCCAAUCAAUUGAGGCGUUACAAUCAGAAUUAAAUUAUUCAGUUAUAGAAAGUAAUGUUUUUAUUUUUCAUGUUCAGGUUGAUAAUUGUAUUGCUAUCUGAUUUGUAGAUUGUGACUGUAUACAAUUGGUUUGCAUUAUUUCUUUCUUGUGAAAAUACAUGUACAUGUCAUUUACAAUAUUUAUGCAUUAUCUGUGCUGUUUAUAUUUUUAUGGCAUGCUUUUACUUAUUGAAUAUUACUUAUUCAAUAUGAAGGACUGCAUGUAAGGUAUCUUUAACAUGUUAAUAGCAAUG
Magallana angulata is the source of this 2172-nucleotide RNA transcript. RefSeq lists it as uncharacterized. The record is from RefSeq and is a predicted model, not a curated record. The transcript is spliced from 5 exons. NCBI's taxonomy places the organism in Eukaryota, Metazoa, Mollusca, Bivalvia, Ostreida, Ostreidae.